Molecule: long non-coding RNA, 655 nt
Filed under: Manihot esculenta (cassava)
Lineage: Eukaryota; Viridiplantae; Streptophyta; Magnoliopsida; Malpighiales; Euphorbiaceae
Description: long non-coding RNA (MESC_LNC000007)
Source: RNAcentral
CAGGGCACUUUCGGCGGCAGGUUCGGCGGCCGAAAGUCCCUCCAGAGCCGAAAGUCAGGCAGGUUCGGCGGCACCUUCGGCGGCCGAAACUCCCAGACAGAGACGAAACUCAUGCAUGUUCGGCGGCACCUUCGGCGGCCGAAAGUCCCAGACAAAGACGAAAGUCUCCCUUCGGGGGCAACUUCGGCAGCCGAAAGGCCUGCCUCACCAGCCAUGUUCGGCGGCCGAAAGUGCCUUCGGCUGCCGAACCUGGUUUCUGCCGAAGGGCAGAAACUUGGCUCCCAAAUGCAUUUUCGCCUCCAAACUCACCAAUCAUGCAUAUACCUCAGUUAAAUCAUGCAUACAAGUUCCUAGGGGCCUCAAAACAUCAAAUACCCCAACUACAACACUUCAAACACACAAAAACAACAUACAUUGUCCAAGACAUCAAGAUUAACCCAUAACUCCACAUAUAACCUAACAUGCAUUUCUACUCAUAAAACAACUUAAUGCUUGUUUCAAACACAUAACAAGGGUGGAUCCGAGCUUACCUCUUGAAGAAACGAGAGGAAAGGCGAUCCUAGCUUGGAGAUGGAGAGAUUGAGCUCUUUGAACCUCCAAGUACCCAAAACUUGCUCUUUACUCACAGAUCUUCAAAACAGAAGUUAAAACCCGU